UGGGGGAUAUUGCACAAUGGGCGAAAGCCUGAUGCAGCGACGCCGCGUGGGGGAUUAAGGCCUUCGGGUUGUAAACUUCUUUUGCUCUGAACAAGGCAUGCCUUUGGGGUGUGUUGAGUGUAGGGGUUGAUUAGCGCCGGCUAACUACGUGCCAGCAGCCGCGGUAAUACGUAGGGCGCGAGCGUUGUCCGGAAUUAUUGGGCGUAAAGGGCUUGUAGGUGGCUGGUUGCGUCUGUCGUGAAAGCUCAUGGCUUAACUGUGGGUUUGCGGUGGGUACGGGCUGGCUUGAGUGCAGUAGGGGAGGCUGGAAUUCCUGGUGUAGCGGUGGAAUGCGCAGAUAUCAGGAGGAAUACCGGUGGCGAAGGCGGGUCUCUGGGCUGUUACUGACGCUGAGGAGCGAAAGCGUGGGGAGCGAACAGG
This 420-nucleotide ribosomal RNA is filed under the name Fusobacteriota bacterium. RNAcentral's name for it is "Fusobacteria bacterium partial 16S ribosomal RNA". It matches the Rfam family "Bacterial small subunit ribosomal RNA", at positions 355 to 776 of the family's 1533-position model. The record is from RNAcentral. Lineage: Bacteria; Fusobacteriati; Fusobacteriota.